This is a non-coding RNA of Dendryphion nanum, 76 nucleotides long. NCBI's taxonomy places the organism in Eukaryota, Fungi, Ascomycota, Dothideomycetes, Pleosporales, Torulaceae. The record is from the annotation of a GenBank genome assembly.
GUUGGUAUGGUGCAACGGUAGCAUAUCUCACCCCUUGUUUAGUGAGAAGAUCUAGUUUCGAUUACUAGUGCCAGCC